Molecule: long non-coding RNA, 426 nt
Organism: Macrobrachium nipponense
Lineage: Eukaryota; Metazoa; Arthropoda; Malacostraca; Decapoda; Palaemonidae
Exons: 3
Source: RefSeq, a predicted model, not a curated record
UGCGCCAGACCGAAGUUCAUAGCCGACGGCGCCACACGCUUCGACGUCGAGCAAGGCGACUUGGGAGAUACUUGGCUCCUGCAGGCGGUGUCGACACUGACCCUCACGCCAAAGUUUCUCGACAGGGUGGUUCCUCCAGACCAGGCCUUUGAUCACACCUACUGUGGCAUCUUCAGGUUUCGGUUCUGGCAUUUCGGCGAGUGGGUCGAGGUCAUCAUCGACGACCGCCUGCCCACCUUCAAGGGUCGACUGGUCUACCUGCACUCGACAGACCCCUCCGAGUUCUGGGCAGCUCUGCUCGAGAAGGCUUAUGCCAAACUCUACGGGAGCUACGAGGCGCUUCAGCAAGGUUUCACCACCAGAGCUCUUCAGGACCUGACUGGAGGCAUCGUGCAGAGCUUCAGCCUGACCAGCAGGACAAAUUCC